This 428-nucleotide ribosomal RNA is filed under the name uncultured prokaryote. Its description in RNAcentral is "bacterial SSU rRNA". It matches the Rfam family "Bacterial small subunit ribosomal RNA", at positions 355 to 774 of the family's 1533-position model. The record is from RNAcentral.
UGAGGAAUAUUGCGCAAUGGGGGAAACCCUGACGCAGCGACGCCGCGUGGAUGAUGAAGGCCUUCGGGUCGUAAAAUCCUGUCAGGUGGAAAGAAGUGUAGUAUACCUAAUACGUGUACUAUUUGACGGUACCACCAAAGGAAGCACCGGCUAACUCCGUGCCAGCAGCCGCGGUAAUACGGAGGGUGCAAGCGUUGUUCGGAAUUACUGGGCGUAAAGCGCGCGUAGGCGGCUAUUUAAGUCAGAUGUGAAAGUCCACGGCUCAACCGUGGAAGUGCAUUUGAAACUGGAUGGCUUGAGUACUGGAGGGGGUGGUGGAAUUCCCGGUGUAGAGGUGAAAUUCGUAGAUAUCGGGAGGAAUACCGGUGGCGAAGGCGACCACCUGGCCAGAUACUGACGCUGAGGUGCGAAAGCGUGGGGAGCAAACA